UACGUAGGGUGCGAGCGUUGUCCGGAAUUAUUGGGCGUAAAGGGCUCGUAGGCGGUCCAUCGCGUCGGGAGUGAAAAGCUGGGGCUUAACCCCAGUCCUGCUUUCGAUACGGGUGGACUAGAGGUAGGCAGGGGAGAAUGGAAUUCCUGGUGUAGCGGUGAAAUGCGUAGAUAUCAGGAGGAAUACCGGUGGCGAAAGCGACUCUCUGGACGGUAACUGACGCUGAGGCACGAAAGCGUGGGGAGCAAACAGG
Molecule: ribosomal RNA, 253 nt
Filed under: uncultured bacterium
Lineage: Bacteria
Description: partial 16S ribosomal RNA
Rfam family: Bacterial small subunit ribosomal RNA
Source: RNAcentral